UACGGAGGGUGCAAGCGUUAUCCGGAUUCACUGGGUUUAAAGGGUGCGUAGGCGGAUUUACAAGUCAGUGGUGAAAUCUCCCAGCUUAACUGGGAAACUGCCAUUGAAACUGUUUAUCUUGAGUACAUUUGAGGCGGGCGGAAUGUGUCAUGUAGAGGUGAAAUUCUUAGAUAUGACACAGAACACCAAUUGCGAAGGCAGCUCGCUAAACUGUAACUGACGCUGAGGCACGAAAGCGUGGGGAUCAAACAGG
Molecule: ribosomal RNA, 253 nt
Filed under: uncultured bacterium
Lineage: Bacteria
Description: partial 16S ribosomal RNA
Rfam family: Bacterial small subunit ribosomal RNA
Source: RNAcentral